GCAGUGGAGCUGCGGCUGUUGGGAUGGCGGCAGCGGGCGGUGAGGAGCCGGACUCGGACGACGGCAGCGAGGAGCUGGUACUCACUCCAUUACAGCUCAUCCGCAGCCUGGAACAGGCCUGGCUGAACGAGAAAUUUGCCCCCGAGCUGCUGGAGAGCAAGCCUGAGAUCAUUGAGUGUGUGGUGGAGCAGCUGGACCACAUGGAGGCAAACCUAAAACGGGCAAAGAAAGGAGACUUGAAGGUCAGCGUCCACCGCAUGGAGAUUGAAAGGAUCCGUUAUGUGCUCAGUAGUUACUUGCGGUGUAGACUCGCGAAGAUAGAGAAGUUUUUCCCACAUGUGCUGGAGAAGGAGAAAUCUCGAGCCAAAGGAGAGCCUUCCAUUCUAUCACCAGAGGAGUUUGCCUUUGCUAAGGAGUACAUGGCAAACACCGAGACUUAUCUGAAAAAUGUGGCCCUAAAGCACAUGCCGCCCAACCUGCAGAAAGUGGCCCUCUUAAAAUCAGUCCCGAAACCCAACCUGGACUCUUUCGUGUUCUUGAGAGUGCUGAAGAGGCAGGAGAACAUCCUGGUUGAGCCAGAGACUGAUGAGCAGAGAGAGUACACCAUUGAUCUGGAGGAGGGCUCACAGCACCUGAUCCGGUACAAGACCAUUGCCCCGCUGGUGGCCUCAGGAGCAGUGCAGCUCAUCUGAGCGAGUGGCUUUUCCAGGUCUAUAGCACACGAGCUGUCACUCCUCCAGCCAUGCCUGUGGACCUGGCCAUGCGGCUCUGCCUGGGCCACUCACCCCCUAUUCGCAAGCUGCUGAAUUCCUAUGAGGAGCUCCGGGGCAGCCGGGGACGCAAACCCCUCCGCUCGUGUCUGAACCUGAAGCAGAGCACAGAUCAUGAGCCUGAGUGGAGAGAGAGCACCAAGAGCUCCAAAAGUCAGAAGAAGAAGAGGGUGGUGUUUGCUGACAUGAAGGGGCUCUCGCUGACAGCUGUCCGAUUCUUCUCAAAGAUUGAGGAGGACCUCUGUGAUUUGCAGCAUGCUCUGUCAGACCUCACCUGCUUCCGGCCCAGGCUCCGGGACUCGCACUCAGAAGUGUGCAGGUAUGUGCUGGACUUCCCACAACCCUCUGCAGACUAUGCAACCUUCCGCAGCCGCCUGCUCAGCAACCUGGUCUGCCUGGAGAGCUGCCUGAUCCAGGACCAUGCCCUGUCUGGGACAGUGAAGGUCAGAAACAUUGAGUAUGAGAAGAAAGUCCUCGUCCGCAUCACCUUUGAUGGCUGGAAGAGUUUCCGAGACGUCUCCUGCCAGUACAUGCAUAGCACAUAUGGCUCAGCAGACAUGGACACCUUCUCCUUUGAGCUCUCCCUUCCCAAGCCCUCCAGCUCCUGCAAGGCCACAGAGUUCUGCAUCUCCUUCCGCUGUGGGCAGAAGACCCACUGGGACAACAACCAGGGGAAGAACUACAAGAUCUACCAUGUGGGUGUGACCCGCUCACCCUCCCAUGCUGUGAAGAGUGCCAAGGGGGCCCGGGAACACCUUGGCACCUCCCGGGCUGCUGCCCUUGUCCUUUCUCACCUGCAGAGCUGGCGGCAUUCAGAGCCCCAAGCCCCGUACUGGUAGGGAGGUGCUCUGGGGGGGGCUGUAGGUCCCUUAUGUCCCUGCUUUGGUACAAGGACCCUUGCGGGGUGAUGGGGGCAGUGGCAGCAGCAGCAAGUGCUGCUCCCAGCUCUUUUAGCUCCUCCACGAGCCUGGCUGGGCUAUGGUACAAGCAGCUGCUGGGCUUCAAACUGGGUCCUGCUACAUCGUCGGCUGGGAGCCGUUUCAGUGAAGUUCCUGCUGGUGCGUCCUCGAGGAAGCGCUAGUGUGAGAGUACGGGAGUGACAGCGGGACGAAGUGCGGCCCCUGAAGGCCGCUUCCGGUGUGAGCCUGGGGCGCGAUCAGCGGGGCGCGCCUUGCGUGCAGCCGGAGGGGGCGGCUCGGGGCUGUCGCCGCGGAGCAAACGUGGAGGCCGCAGGCGGAUGUGGCGGGCGGGACGAGGCUGCUCAGUGCCGCGGUGGGGCGCCUCGGGCCGGCCGCGCUGUUACGGGAGGCAAUAAAGUGACGGCACGGUG
Long non-coding RNA from Gallus gallus (chicken), 2100 nucleotides. RefSeq annotates it as GINS4-PPP1RL readthrough. The transcript has 8 exons. The record is from RefSeq and is marked validated. NCBI's taxonomy places the organism in Eukaryota, Metazoa, Chordata, Aves, Galliformes, Phasianidae.